This 230-nucleotide ribosomal RNA is filed under the name uncultured bacterium. RNAcentral describes it as "partial 16S ribosomal RNA". It matches the Rfam family "Bacterial small subunit ribosomal RNA", at positions 563 to 791 of the family's 1533-position model. The record is from RNAcentral.
UAAGCGCGCGUAGGUGGUUUGUUAAGUUGGAUGUGAAAUCCCCGGGCUCAACCUGGGAACUGCAUCCAAAACUGGCAAGCUAGAGUAUGGUAGAGGGUGGUGGAAUUUCCUGUGUAGCGGUGAAAUGCGUAGAUAUAGGAAGGAACACCAGUGGCGAAGGCGACCACCUGGACUGAUACUGACACUGAGGUGCGAAAGCGUGGGGAGCAAACAGGAUUAGAUACCCCAGU